This 255-nucleotide long non-coding RNA is filed under the name Hordeum vulgare. RNAcentral describes it as "long non-coding RNA (HVUL_LNC006047)". Lineage: Eukaryota; Viridiplantae; Streptophyta; Magnoliopsida; Poales; Poaceae. The record is from RNAcentral.
UCAUCUUCCUCCAGCCUUUUCAUCACAUCCCGAAGCAAUUCAGGAGGAAGGCUAGCCCAAUUGCCUUGCAGGUCUGUGACAAGACUAUCCUGCAGCUCACUUGCAGAUUCAAGCGAUUUCCCUCUGUAAUGGCCCGAAAGGCUUGGGACGCUCGAAAUUUUCGCCUCAAAAUUCCGCCUUGACAGGUUUCCAAAGCUCUCCCGGAAAUCACGAACUAUGCUGCGCAAAGUCAUCUUUGGACUUGGUGCAAAUCUU